This 662-nucleotide long non-coding RNA is filed under the name Equus caballus (horse). RNAcentral's name for it is "lncRNA (ENSECAG00000055996.1)". The record is from RNAcentral. Lineage: Eukaryota; Metazoa; Chordata; Mammalia; Perissodactyla; Equidae.
GGAAGAUGCCACAUGUCAUUGUUCCAGCAGCUGCUGCGAAUGGCAGAGGAAGGCGCCGGCAUCCGUACGCAGAGGCUUUCCGACUGCCGGUCUGAGGAGUCAGCGGACGCGCACCUGCAGAGGGAACGGCGGAGAAUCACAGAGCCAGGGCGUGUGCUCCACUUUGAGUUCUCAGGCGACUGUGUGGUAAAUAUCUAAGAUUGGAAUUUCUUGGUCAUGGAGAUUUUCAGGACCACCUGUUUUCAGGACGGCUUUUCAUUUCUAGGAGGUCAACGAAAGGAAAAGAAAAUGAAGAUUUUGCCAAGUGUGCCUUGUUUGUCUAUAAUCCGCUUGUUCCUGACUGAAGGCUGACUCCAGUUGCCCUUGAUGCUCCAGCUCCCUCUGAUCUAGUGGUCACGGGCUGUUGACAGCCAGUUGCAGUCUGGCAAGAAGCUAAAAAGAAGGGGACCCAUUUAAACAAUUACGAUUUAAAUGCUGCAAUAGCUGGUGUUUGGUUUCAGUAAAUUUGUUGUCUGGCCUAUCAAAGGCCCCCACAUAUCCUUCUGAAAGUUAAAUGAAGGUUUUAUUCAUCAAUGACUCAUUGCUUCCCACUUGCUAAUGCUGUCUGAGAAAAUAUGAAUUUUGAUUAGAAAGAUUAUAUGAAUUUUCUAAUGAUCUACAUG